Long non-coding RNA from Python bivittatus (Burmese python), 455 nucleotides. RefSeq lists it as uncharacterized. Lineage: Eukaryota; Metazoa; Chordata; Lepidosauria; Squamata; Pythonidae. The record is from RefSeq and is a predicted model, not a curated record.
GCAAAGAACUGUUGAGUCCCACUUAACCUGACUUACAGACUCCUGCCUCUUGUAAGGACCGUUCUGAGCUUCAACCAUGAAGGCCUUUCUCCUCCUCGUUGCCAUCUUCCUGUUUUCCCACCAGGCAACUGCAGGAAUUGGCCAAAGUGACCCUGCUAACCUUGCUUGUUUUCAAAGUGGUGGCUCCUGUAAAGUCUCAUGUCCAUUCCCUUCUGUAGCUUCAGGAGACUGUUUUGGUAGUCUGGUCUGCUGUAAAUGGCCCCGUCCAGGUCCAGCUUAAAUUAUCAGGAAAACUUUGAAGAACCUGAACAGUUCUGAAGAAGAUAUUGAAACUUAGUGGCUGGAUGGUGUGCAGGCAAUUCUCCUGAGAUACAAAUACUUUGAUGGAAUAUAUAAUCUGGAAAAAGAUAACAGUUAAACAUAUUGUUCUGUAUAUUAAAGAUCUAUAAUAGCAA